RNAcentral lists this ribosomal RNA (253 nucleotides) under uncultured bacterium. RNAcentral's name for it is "partial 16S ribosomal RNA". It matches the Rfam family "Bacterial small subunit ribosomal RNA", at positions 524 to 776 of the family's 1533-position model. The record is from RNAcentral.
UACGUAGGGGGCAAGCGUUGUCCGGAAUCAUUGGGCGUAAAGAGCGUGUAGGUGGCUCGGUAAGUCCGCUGUGAAAGUCCAGGGCUCAACCCUGGAAAGCCGGUGGAAACUGUCGAGCUCGAGUCCGGAAGAGGCGAGUGGAAUUCCUGGUGUAGCGGUGAAAUGCGUAGAGAUCGGAAAGAACACCAACGGCGAAAGCACUCUGCUGGGCCGACACUGACACUGAGAGACGAAAGCUAGGGGAGCGAAUGGG